UCCGGUUUAUCACCGGCAGUCUCCUUUGAGUUCCCGGCCGAACCGCUGGCAACAAAGGAUAAGGGUUGCGCUCGUUGCGGGACUUAACCCAACAUUUCACAACACGAGCUGACGACAGCCAUGCAGCACCUGUCUCAGAGUUCCCGAAGGCACUCCCGCAUCUCUGCAGGAUUCUCUGGAUGUCAAGACCAGGUAAGGUUCUUCGCGUUGCAUCGAAUUAAACCACAUGCUCCACCGCUUGUGCGGGCCCCCGUCAAUUCAUUUGAGUUUUAACCUUGCGGCCGUACUCCCCAGGCGGUCGACUUAACGCGUUAGCUCCGGAAGCCACGCCUCAAGGGCACAACCUCCAAGUCGACAUCGUUUACGGCGUGGACUAC
RNAcentral lists this unclassified non-coding RNA (377 nucleotides) under Cronobacter sakazakii. RNAcentral's name for it is "contains 16S-23S intergenic spacer region". The record is from RNAcentral. Lineage: Bacteria; Pseudomonadati; Pseudomonadota; Gammaproteobacteria; Enterobacterales; Enterobacteriaceae.